GCCCGGAUGGUGGAAUCGGUAGACACAAGGGACUUAAAAUCCCUGGCCGUUAAGGUGUGCGGGUUCAAGUCCCGCUCCGGGUA
This is a transfer RNA of 83 nucleotides. It matches the Rfam family "tRNA". From Rfam's summary of the family: Transfer RNA (tRNA) molecules are approximately 80 nucleotides in length. Their secondary structure includes four short double-helical elements and three loops (D, anti-codon, and T loops).